ACGGCUCAGUAACACGUGGAUAACCUGCCCUUGGGUCCGGCAUAACCCCGGGAAACUGGGGAUAAUUCCGGAUAACGCACAUAUGCUGGAAUGCUUUAUGCGUAAAAUGGAUUCGUCUGCCCAAGGAUGGGUCUGCGGCCUAUCAGGUAGUAGUGGGUGUAAUGUACCUACUAGCCUACAACGGGUACGGGUUGUGAGAGCAAGAGCCCGGAGAUGGAUUCUGAGACAUGAAUCCAGGCCCUACGGGGCGCAGCAGGCGCGAAAACUUUACAAUGCGGGAAACCGUGAUAAGGGGACACCGAGUGCCAGCAUCAUAUGCUGGCUGUCCAGGUGUGUAAAAUACACCUGUUAGCAAGGGCCGGGCAAGACCGGUGCCAGCCGCCGCGGUAACACCGGCGGCCCGAGUGGUGAUCGUGAUUAUUGGGUCUAAAGGGUCCGUAGCCGGUUUGGUCAGUCCUCCGGGAAAUCUGACGGCUUAACCGUUAGGCUUUCGGGGGAUACUGCCAGGCUUGGAACCGGGAGAGGUAAGAGGUACUACAGGGGUAGGAGUGAAAUCUUGUAAUCCCUGUGGGACCACCUGUGGCGAAGGCGUCUUACCAGAACGGGUUCGACGGUGAGGGACGAAAGCUGGGGGCACGAACCGGAUUAGAUACCCGGGUAGUCCCAGCCGUAAACGAUGCUCGCUAGGUGUCAGGCAUGGCGCGACCGUGUCUGGUGCCGCAGGGAAGCCGUGAAGCGAGCCACCUGGGAAGUACGGCCGCAAGGCUGAAACUUAAAGGAAUUGGCGGGGGAGCAC
Molecule: ribosomal RNA, 796 nt
Filed under: uncultured archaeon
Lineage: Archaea
Also listed under: 2 other names
Description: bacterial SSU rRNA
Rfam family: Archaeal small subunit ribosomal RNA
Source: RNAcentral